UACAGAGGUCUCGAGCGUUGUUCGGAUUCAUUGGGCGUAAAGGGUGCGUAGGUGGCGCUGUAAGUCGGGUGUGAAAUCCUGAGGCUUAACCUCGGAACUGCAUUCGAUACUGCGGCGCUUGAGGACUGGAGAGGAGACUGGGAUUCAUGGUGUAGCAGUGAAAUGCGUAGAGAUCAUGAGGAAGACCAGUGGCGAAGGCGGGUCUCUGGACAGUUCCUGACACUGAGGCACGAAGGCCAGGGGAGCAAACGGG
Molecule: ribosomal RNA, 253 nt
Filed under: uncultured bacterium
Lineage: Bacteria
Description: partial 16S ribosomal RNA
Rfam family: Bacterial small subunit ribosomal RNA
Source: RNAcentral